RNAcentral lists this ribosomal RNA (497 nucleotides) under uncultured bacterium. RNAcentral's name for it is "partial 16S ribosomal RNA". It matches the Rfam family "Bacterial small subunit ribosomal RNA", at positions 28 to 507 of the family's 1533-position model. The record is from RNAcentral.
GAUGAACGCUGGCGGCGUGCCUAAUACAUGCAAGUCGAGCGAACGGACGAGAAGCUUGCUUUUCUGAUGUUAGCGGCGGACGGGUUAGUAACACGUGGAUAACCUACCUAUAAGACUGGGAUAACUUCGGGAAACCGGAGCUAAUACCGGAUAAUAUUUUGAACCGCAUGGUUCAAAAGUGAAAGACGGUCUUGCUGUCACUUAUAGAUGGAUCCGCGCUGCAUUAGCUAGUUGGUAAGGUAACGGCUUACCAAGGCAACGAUGCAUAGCCGACCUGAGAGGGUGAUCGGCCACACUGGAACUGAGACACGGUCCAGACUCCUACGGGAGGCAGCAGUAGGGAAUCUUCUGCAAUGGGCGAAAGCCUGACGGAGCAACGCCGCGUGAGUGAUGAAGGUCUUCGGAUCGUAAAACUCUGUUAUUAGGGAAGAACAUAUGUGUAAGUAACUGUGCACAUCUUGACGGUACCUAAUCAGAAAGCCACGGCUAACUACGUG